CAGUCGCCACGGGAACACGAAGGGUGCAAGCGGUACUCGGAAUUACUGGGCGUAAAGCGUGCGUAGGUGGUGGUUUAAGUCCGUUGUGAAAGCCCUGGGCUCAACCUGGGAAUUGCAGUGGAUACUGGAUCACUAGAGUGUGGUAGAGGAUAGUGGAAUUUCCGGUGUAGCAGUGAAAUGCGUAGAGAUCGGAAGGAACAUCUGUGGCGAAGGCGACUAUCUGGGCCAACACUGACACUGAGGCACGAAAGCGUGGGGAGCAAACAGGAUUAGAUACCCCCGUAGUCCCUGUCUCUUAUAC
Molecule: ribosomal RNA, 301 nt
Filed under: uncultured bacterium
Lineage: Bacteria
Description: partial 16S ribosomal RNA
Rfam family: Bacterial small subunit ribosomal RNA
Source: RNAcentral